This 144-nucleotide ribosomal RNA is filed under the name Brephosceles puffini. RNAcentral's name for it is "partial 16S large subunit ribosomal RNA". Lineage: Eukaryota; Metazoa; Arthropoda; Arachnida; Sarcoptiformes; Alloptidae. The record is from RNAcentral.
AAUUUACUAAUACUAUAUUAUUUUUUUUCUUUUAAUUUAUAGUACUGUUGAAAAUAACAGUUUUUCUUUUAAGACUAAAAGACCCUAGAAUUUUUAUAAUAGUUUUUCAUUAUUUGUUUGGGGUAAUAUAAUAACAAAAAUAAA